UGGACGGAGAGUUUGAUCCUGGCUCAGGGUUAACGCUGGCGGUGCGCAUAACACAUGCAAGUCGAGCGAGGGCUCAUUUCCCGCAAGGGAGGUGAGUUCCUAGCGGCGAACGGGUGAGUAACACGUGGGCAACCUUUCCUAUCGCGGGGGAUAACAGCGGGAAACCGCUGCUAAUACCGCAUGUAGUCACCGGUCGCAUGGCCGGUGAAAAAAGCAGCAAUGCACGAUGGGGUGGGCCCGCGGCCUAUCAGCUAGUCGGUGGGGUAACGGCCUACCGAGGCGAUGA
RNAcentral lists this ribosomal RNA (286 nucleotides) under Chloroflexota bacterium. RNAcentral describes it as "Chloroflexi bacterium partial 16S ribosomal RNA". It matches the Rfam family "Bacterial small subunit ribosomal RNA", at positions 1 to 279 of the family's 1533-position model. Lineage: Bacteria; Bacillati; Chloroflexota. The record is from RNAcentral.